Molecule: long non-coding RNA, 629 nt
Organism: Quercus robur (English oak)
Lineage: Eukaryota; Viridiplantae; Streptophyta; Magnoliopsida; Fagales; Fagaceae
Exons: 3
Source: RefSeq, a predicted model, not a curated record
CAAUCCUUUUGACUUUUCCCUAAGCUAAAUUAUACAGUGCACUUAUUUGACAAAAAUGGAGAAGCUCAUAUCAAGCAGAUGUCACUUGCAACUUGUGCCAGAAACUUACAUAUUACCACCAGAAAGUAGACCAGGACAGACACAAGUUCCUCUAUGUGAGACUAUUCCAGUGAUUGAUCUUGAAGGAGAGCUUAGUUUUGAUCGAGCACACUUGAUUAAACAGAUUAUACAGGCUAGCCAAGAAUUUGGAUUCUUUCGGUUGAUUAAUCAUGGGGUUUCAGAGAAACUGACGCAUGAUGUAAUUGAUGUGGGCAAGGAGUUCAUUGUGCUGCCUGCCAAGGACAAGGCAAGCUUAUAUUCUGAGGACCCCCAAGCAAAGUUGUAGACACAAGCAUAGAUUAUGAUUCAGAGAAGGUACACUACUGGAGAGAUACUUUGAGACACCCUUGUCAUCAUCUAGAGGAACACAUGCAAUUUUGGCCAGAAAAGCCACCUCAUUAUCGGGAGGUGGUUGGUAAUCAUGCAGCAGAGGUGAGGAAGCUGAGUUUGUGGGUUUUGGAUUUAAUUUGUGAAGGAUUAGGACUUGAAUCAAGAUAUUUAAGGGAAGAACUCAGCCAAGUUCAGUUAAU